CUGAAGAGAGGAGCUUGCUCUUCUUGGAUGAGUUGCGAACGGGUGAGUAACGCGUAGGUAACCUGCCUUGUAGCGGGGGAUAACUAUUGGAAACGAUAGCUAAUACCGCAUAACAAUGGGUGACACAUGUCAUUUAUUUGAAAGGGGCAAUUGCUCCACUACAAGAUAGACCUGCGUUGUAUUAGCUAGUAAGUGAGGUAACGGCUCACCUAGGCGACGAUACAUAGCCGACCUGAGAGGGUGAUCGGCCACACUGGGACUGAGACACGGCCCAGACUCCUACGGGAGGCAGCAGUAGGGAAUCUUCGGCAAUGGGGGCAACCCUGACCGAGCAACGCCGCGUGAGUGAAGAAGGUUUUCGGAUCGUAAAGCUCUGUUGUAAGUCAAGAACGAGUGUGAGAGUGGAAAGUUCACACUGUGACGGUAGCUUACCAGAAAGGGACGGCUAACUACGUGCCAGCAGCCGCGGUAAUACGUAGGUCCCGAGCGUUGUCCGGAUUUAUUGGGCGUAAAGCGAGCGCAGGCGGUUUGAUAAGUCUGAAGUUAAAGGCUGUGGCUCAACCAUAGUUCGCUUUGGAAACUGUCAAACUUGAGUGCAGAAGGGGAGAGUGGAAUU
This 616-nucleotide ribosomal RNA is filed under the name uncultured Bacilli bacterium. RNAcentral's name for it is "bacterial SSU rRNA". It matches the Rfam family "Bacterial small subunit ribosomal RNA", at positions 67 to 668 of the family's 1533-position model. Lineage: Bacteria; Bacillati; Bacillota; Bacilli. The record is from RNAcentral.